GAUUGUGUGUGUGAGGAUCCAGUGCAAGACAGAGAAACUGUUCCAGGUAUUUGGAGCACAAAUAGGUUUAAUACAAGGAAGUAGAUGCUCAUAAAAUCAGUAGACAGAUCAAGGAAUGGGCGUGAGGGGGCUGCUGCUGAGCUAUUCACAGGACUAUAGAGAAGGAGCCAGAGGAGAGGAGGCUGCUGCUGACUCCACUGGCUCUGCUGGCUCCCUGAAACUAGGCAUCAGGACUCAAAAAGCACUCCCAUGAGAACCACCUCCUUGCUUUCAGAAGCUGAAGGAGGUGGCCCGCAGCCGCUACUCCAGAUCUGCCUUCCACAUUUUCCACAGGUUUUUCUGACUGUGGCAGGCAAUUCUUAGUCAAAUCUCCAGCUACUCGCAACUUCAUCCAUGCUGUUGUAAAUGGCAAGAUCUCUUUCUUUUUUAAGGCUGAGUAAUAUUCUAUUGCAUAGAUGCAGCACAUCUUCUUUACCCACUCACUUGUAGAUGAUGAACAUGGGAAUGCAGAUGUGUCUUUGCGAUCCUGAUUUCAAUUUUCAGGAAAUGUACCCAGAAGUGAAAUCACUGUGUCACAUGGCAAACCUCAACUUUGAUGAAUGAUAUAUUUUACCAAGUGGAAAGAAAAGCAUGGGGUUCCUGAAGUUUAGGAUGGAGUCCCAAAGAGGCCCUCAGUCUUUGCACCUUCACCUUAGUAAACCCUGCUGACACCAUGUGGAUGAUGUCUGGACAUCAGUGGGAUACUACAUUUUGAGAGGAAAUAGGGGUAUGCUGAAAAAUUUCAAAUGACUUGUGUCUCUUAAGUCCCGGAAGUGCUAACCCAUUGCUAUUGGAAGAACGGAAAUGCCAUCUGGCCCCAGAUAUGAUAGAUACCAUGACAACACUCAGGGGGAGUGAAAGCAUAAACAGGAACUGGGGCCAGAAGAUCCUGACUUGGAGAAUGGCAAUCUGUGAGAAUGUCUGGUUUAACACUCAAAGAGUCAAAAGAAAAGCACGACGUCUACACAAUAGCCUUUUCACUUAUUGCUGGUGCCCCUCACUCUCUUUGGGAAGCUCCCCGUAUCAUGCCCAAUGGAGAAGGGAUUUGCUGAGCCUUCAUGUGCUCAUAGAACCUGUCUUAAGAUUUGCUUCAACUACGAAAAUGCUUUCACCUUUAUUCUAAUAUAAGUUGCUAUUUUUCCCCUUAGAAUGUGUAACUAUGGUUUUCGUAGACUAAAUCAUGCCAAUAAAUACUUUCACAUAUUGCCGGUAGGAGUAUAAAUGGAUUCAACCAUUUUGGAAGGCAAAUUGGAAAUAUGUAUCAAGAACUUUAAAAAUGUCACUUUGGUACAAUAAUAACACUUCUUUGACUUUAUCCUGAGAAAAUUACCCAAGAGAGACAUGGAGAUAACACCUUCAUUUCAAACAUACUCAUCAUGGAUUAUUUAUAAAAAACAUUGUAAACGAUGAACAAAAGGGUACCUCCAGAUAGAAAUGUUUAUUUCAAAGUUUGUAUAACGACAUGAAGCAGGUAA
Molecule: long non-coding RNA, 1514 nt
Organism: Callithrix jacchus (white-tufted-ear marmoset)
Lineage: Eukaryota; Metazoa; Chordata; Mammalia; Primates; Cebidae
Source: RefSeq, a predicted model, not a curated record